RNAcentral lists this ribosomal RNA (433 nucleotides) under uncultured bacterium. Its description in RNAcentral is "bacterial SSU rRNA". It matches the Rfam family "Bacterial small subunit ribosomal RNA", at positions 28 to 507 of the family's 1533-position model. The record is from RNAcentral.
GAUGAACGCUGGCGGCGUGCUUAACACAUGCAAGUCGAACGAACCUUCGGGUUAGUGGCGGACGGGUGAGUAACGCGUGAGAAUCUGCCCUCAGGAGGGGGACAACAGCUGGAAACGGCUGCUAAUACCCCAUAUGCCGCGAGGUGAAAUGAAUUUCGCCUGAGGAUGGGCUCGCGUCUGAUUAGCUAGUUGGUGUAGGUAAUGGCUCACCAAGGCAUCGAUCAGUAGCUGGUCUGAGAGGAUGAUCAGCCACACUGGGACUGAGACACGGCCCAGACUCCUACGGGAGGCAGCAGUGGGGAAUUUUCCGCAAUGGGCGAAAGCCUGACGGAGCAACGCCGCGUGAGGGAUGAAGGCCUCUGGGCUGUAAACCUCUUUUAUCAAGGAAGAAGAUCUGACGGUACUUGAUGAAUAAGCCACGGCUAAUUCCGUG